Molecule: ribosomal RNA, 99 nt
Filed under: Crocinitomicaceae bacterium
Lineage: Bacteria; Pseudomonadati; Bacteroidota; Flavobacteriia; Flavobacteriales; Crocinitomicaceae
Description: partial 16S ribosomal RNA
Rfam family: Bacterial small subunit ribosomal RNA
Source: RNAcentral
UACAAUGGAGAGUUUGAUCCUGGCUCAGGAUGAACGCUAGCGGCAGGCUUAACACAUGCAAGUCGAACGGUAACAGAAAAAGCUUGCUUUUUGCUGACG